CUCAACCUGGGAAUUGCAUUCGAUACUGCCUGACUAGAGUGUGGUAGAGGGAAGUGGAAUUCCGCAUGUAGCGGUGAAAUGCGUAGAGAUGCGGAGGAACACCAAUGGCGAAGGCAACUUCCUGGAUCAACACUGACACUGAGGUGCGAAAGCGUGGGUAGCAAACAGGAUUAGAUACCCUGGUAGUCCACGCCGUAAACGAUGUCAACUAGCCGUUGGGGGCGUUUGGCCCCUAGUGGCGCAGCUAACGCGAUAAGUUGACCGCCUGGGGAGUACGGCCGCAAGGUUAAAACUCAAAGGAAUUGACGGGGGCCCGCACAAGCGGUGGAGCAUGUGGUUUAAUUCGAUGCAACGCGAAGAACCUUACCUGCCCUUGACAUCCUGGGAACUCUCUGGAGACAGGGAGGUGCCUUCGGGAGCCC
This 422-nucleotide ribosomal RNA is filed under the name uncultured Gammaproteobacteria bacterium. Its description in RNAcentral is "bacterial SSU rRNA". It matches the Rfam family "Bacterial small subunit ribosomal RNA", at positions 608 to 1029 of the family's 1533-position model. The record is from RNAcentral. Lineage: Bacteria; Pseudomonadati; Pseudomonadota; Gammaproteobacteria.